CCUACGGGAGGCAGCAGUGAGGAAUAUUGGUCAAUGGGCGGAAGCCUGAACCAGCCAAGUCGCGUGAGGGAAUAAGGCCCUACGGGUCGUAAACCUCUUUUGCCGGGGAGCAAGGUCGGGGACGUGUCCCGUCCCGGAGAGUACCCGGAGAAAAAGCAUCGGCUACAUCCGUGCCAGCAGCCGCGGUAAUACGGAGGAUGCGAGGGUUAUCCGGUUUUAUUGGGUUAAAGGGGUGCGUAGGCGGGCUUUUGAGUCAGCGGUAAAAAUUCGGGGCUCAACCCCGUCCGGCCGUUGAAACUGGGGGCCUUGAGUGGGCGAGAAGAAGGCGGAAUGCGUGGUGUAGCGGUGAAAUGCAUAGAUAUCACGCAGAACCCCGAUUGCGAAGGCAGCCUGCCGGCGCCCUACUGACGCUGAGGCACGAAAGUGCGGGGAUCGAACAGGAUUAGAUACCCGUGUAGUC
RNAcentral lists this ribosomal RNA (460 nucleotides) under uncultured bacterium. RNAcentral's name for it is "partial 16S ribosomal RNA". It matches the Rfam family "Bacterial small subunit ribosomal RNA", at positions 338 to 795 of the family's 1533-position model. The record is from RNAcentral.